AAUCAACGCUGGCGGCGUGCCUAACACAUGCAAGUCGAACGCGAAAGCCCCGCAAGGGGCAAGUAGAGUGGCAAACGGGUGAGUAACACGUGGGUGACCUGCCUUCGCGCGGGGGAUAACGUCCCGAAAGGGACGCUAAUACCGCAUAACAUCCUGCCUUUGAAGAGGUGGAGAUCAAAGCUGGGGAUCGCAAGACCCGGCACUUGAAGAGGGGCCCGCGCCUGAUUAGCUAGUUGGGGGGUAAUGGCCUACCAAGGCAACGAUCAGUAUCCGGCCUGAGAGGGCGGACGGACACACUGGGACUGAGACACGGCCCAGACUCCUACGUGAGGCAGCAGUGGGGAAUUGUUCGCAAUGGGCGCAAGCCUGACGACGCAACGCCGCGUGGAGGAUGAAGAUUUUCGGAUCGUAAACUCCUGUCGAAUGGGACGAAAAGAUAACGGGUUAACAGCCCGUAAUCCUGACGGUACCGU
RNAcentral lists this ribosomal RNA (473 nucleotides) under uncultured bacterium. RNAcentral describes it as "bacterial SSU rRNA". It matches the Rfam family "Bacterial small subunit ribosomal RNA", at positions 32 to 481 of the family's 1533-position model. The record is from RNAcentral.